GAAAAGUCAUGUUUCUUUUUCAAAAUUAUCAGAUUAGAAGAGCUUCCGAACAAAGUAAAAGGAAUAGUGAGGAACUCAAAACGUGUUGAAGCAGAAAUAGCAGCGUUAAAGAUAUCUUACCUCAAGAGAAUCAACAAAGGCUCUAAUAUCAUCAUCUUUAUUGGUUUCGUAGGUACUCGGACUCGGCUAAAAUUGUGGCGAAAACGUUAAAGGUUCUCGGGUUUAAGAACUGCUGGAUCGUUACUGAUGGAUUUUCUGGUGGGAGAGGAUGGUUGCAGAGCCGGUUAGGCACUGAUUCUUACAACUUCUCCUUCGCACAGGUGUUGUCUCCAUCGAGGAUUAUCCCGGCAGCUUCUAGGUUUGGUACUAGAUCAGAAACCAAGUUCCUUCCUAGCUCCGACUGAAAACAAAGAGAAUGUAUUGUAUCAUUAGCUAAAGAAGUGUUGUUUUUAUAUCUCAACUUUGAGAGAUCUUUUGAUAAGAUUUUCGAAUUAUUAUUUCUCUUUUACAUUGAUGAUGAUAUGAAGUGGUACUUCAGGAAAAUAAAUCAAGUUGUACUUAAACUGAAGUAAUAGCUACAGCUUGGAAAACCUGAAGAUCAUCACCUUUGAAAGAAAGAAAAUGAUCAGAUAAACAGAGAUGACUGGGCCUAUAGUCUAGUGCAGGAAUAAUUUGGGAUAAAGUUGUAAACUUAGAUACCUCAGGACUGUUGUUGUAGUUGUACAUGACGCAACUAACCAAAUCAAUUAUGGACUAUCUGGUAGGUCUGGUGUGUGGCUCAGCUGUGUUCUUUAAGUGGUGGGUUUGCCCAAUUGCCA
This 818-nucleotide long non-coding RNA is filed under the name Brassica rapa (field mustard). RNAcentral's name for it is "long non-coding RNA (BRAP_LNC000427)". Lineage: Eukaryota; Viridiplantae; Streptophyta; Magnoliopsida; Brassicales; Brassicaceae. The record is from RNAcentral.